This is a long non-coding RNA of Melanotaenia boesemani (Boeseman's rainbowfish), 1852 nucleotides long. RefSeq lists it as uncharacterized. The record is from RefSeq and is a predicted model, not a curated record. Lineage: Eukaryota; Metazoa; Chordata; Actinopteri; Atheriniformes; Melanotaeniidae. The transcript has 5 exons.
CUGUUGAUGGGGGGUGUCGGAGUCCAGGGUAUGGCUGUGUGGAAGAGGGGCAGAGCAAGAAGAGAGUUCAGCAUCCUGACAGCCUGAUGGAUGAAGCUGUCCCUCAGUCUGUUGGUCCUGGCCUAGAGCCUCUGUAGUCUCCUUCCUGAUGGCAGCAGGCUGAAGAAGCUGUGUGAUGGGUGGGCAGGUCUCUCGCGAUGCAGAGGGCUUUACGAGUGAAGUGAGGUGGAGAUGGUUUGCAGGGAGGGGAGAGAGGCACCGACGAUCUUCUCAGAUGCUCUCACGAUGUGUUCCGGCAGGACGUGGAGCAGACACCGUACCACACGGUGAUGCUGCUGGUCAGAACGCUCUCGAUGGUGCCUCUGAAGAAGGCGCACAUGAUGGGGGAGGGGCUCUAGCUUUCCUCAGUUUGUGGAGGAAGAAGAUGCGCUGGUUGGCUUUGCUGGCCGGUCAUGUGGUCUUGAUGCACUUCAUAAGAAUGGAAGUGAGGACUACCGGACAGUAGUUGUUGAAACAGGAGGGCGACGACUUCUUCAGGACGGGGAUGAUGGUGGUGGUUUUGAGGCAUGUGGGGACGACAGCCUGGCUCAGCGAGAUGUUAAAGGUGUCCGUGAAGACAUCCGUGAGCUCCCCGGCACAGUCCCUCAGCACACGACCAGGACCUCUCUGUUUAGACCACCAUUGGGACGCUCCAGACUGGCCUGCCGGACAUAAGGCGACGUCGUUCCUCUGUUGGAAACUUUGUCCUCUGACACUCGACCAUCAUGGAUAACAGUAGGAGGAAGGUGGUUCCUGUGGUGCUCUGGGGGCCGGCUGUGGCCAUGGAGGUUGAUAGGGACUGGGGACGGAUGGCUUGAAUGACGUUUUUCUGCAGAGUCCCUAGAGUAAAUGAAGUGGUAACAGUUGUUACUGCAAAGAUCUGGGAGACACAGCAAGGCCUGGCCAAGUGCCUGUAGAUGGGAUCAGGUGGACCUGUGGUGCAUGGGAUUGGAACAUUACAGAAUGAUUGACACUCACCUGCAGCAGAGAAGAGCGUGGCGGGCCGUGCCAAGUCGCUGGGGUGAUGGAUGGCGCCAAACAGGCUGGGGCCGGGGGGUCGACUCAGGAACUCAGGCUUGAGUCCGAAGUCUAGCUUGUGAGGGUCGACCUGCAUCUGCUGCUGAAAGACGCCAAACCAAAACACAGAAACGCAUGUAAAAACUACGCAAGUAAGACGUCCCAGUGGAAGAUGCCUGAGUAGGACAGACUGAAUCUGAGGACGACUGGAGAGAAAAGGACUUGGGUGAUUUUAAUUUCACACCUGCAGGGAUUCAUUAAAAAUACUGCAUUAACUAACAGCAGUUAGCUGAAUGUGUGUCCAAGAACAUGUUAUGAGGUUUCACAGGAAUCUAAAAUGAAAACCUCCAGGGCUGAUGGAGCCGCACGAAGCUUUGCUUUCAUAAUGGCUUCAUCAUUAAAACCUUAAUAAGUGAUAAUGACUGACAGCAGAAGUGUCAAAGUUGCAUGUAAAUUAUAUUUCCAACUGCCUGUGGUGAAAAUCAAAUCUCUACCCUUUUAUUACUGUGUUCUUUCCUUUAACAUAUAUAAGAAGACACCAUCUAUGUCACAAGAAAUCCCUCAAUUUGCAGAUUUCUACUAACUUUUUAGAGCUGAAAAAGGAAGACGAUGUAUUUCUGAUGCUAGCAGUUAGCAACAUGUAUAUGUGCACUUAAUUUAAACUCAGAGUGAGAGUCUAUAGAGCUACUGUGCUCCAGUCUUUUUUGGACUGUUUUCUUUUUUUGUGUUUGUCUGCACCCAAAAGCAUCACUGGUAAACUUUAGAAUAAAUAUGUUCUGGCAGUCAGAUUAUAAAC